Malania oleifera is the source of this 1545-nucleotide long non-coding RNA. RefSeq lists it as uncharacterized. Lineage: Eukaryota; Viridiplantae; Streptophyta; Magnoliopsida; Santalales; Ximeniaceae. The record is from RefSeq and is a predicted model, not a curated record. The transcript is spliced from 3 exons.
GUGUUAUGUAUUUGUUUUAUCAUUGAUUUGCUUGUUUGAUUGAUUCAAUAUUUCGAUACAACAUCAGCUCCAUUUCCAUCUCUCUCUCUCUCUCUCUCUCUCCCGUGCUGUCUUUUUUUUCUCAAUUUUAUUCAAAUCAAAAAUAAGAUGCGUUGCCUGGUGGGAAUUUAAACUUAAGCUACCAUUGACUGUGGAGUUGAUUAGUCGUUUUAGUCCAAGACAAGCGACUGAUGUUCAUGAAGCAGAUUUUUACGAGGUCAAUACUUCACUCAAUCAAGAGUUUUGAUCCUAUUAGUGGUUCAUGGCUCAUGGGUCUUAUCAGAGAAUUCAUUUUGUAUCUAUUCAAGCAUACCCAGUCAGUUAAAAUGGGAAUUCAUGGCCGUCUGGCUCUUAUAGUGGAGCCUCCUUGAGUUUUCUGCCGUUGUAUUUUGACGCUUUACCAGGUACUUUUAUUGGUAAAAUUUGUAAAUUUGUGAUUUCAGCAAUGAAAGAAGCUUCAAGUGUGUACGCUUCAAGAAGAAUUGAUGAGGCUGCUCGGAGUAGUUUUAGAUUUGCCCACGACCUGUUCGAUUGUAUGUCUGAUCAAAACCAAGUGAGAAGGGUUGUGGAAGUAAGCUUGAUUGCUCAAAAUACAGUGUCCGAGUUCAGGAAGUUGAUUUCCCUGCUUGAUGGAUCAACGCGCGUGCAGAUUGUAAGAGGAUCAGAAAAGGUCCUUUACCAAAUUCCAUUGAUGUAAACCGCAUUGAAUUAUCAGGUCGUCAUAGUUUUUCAUUGUCAAGUUUUAAAUGCAAUUCAGCCAACCCCCUACAGCUGAACGGUUACUUCCCUCUCAAAAUACUCCCUUUACAACUGUUUUAACCACCAUCAAUGGUCUUAACUUUCGUCAAAACAUGUGUGCUCCGGCAAUGAACCGAUGUUACUCUGAAAUCAAUGCAGUAUUUUCAAAGAAUUUGAUCAUGGAGUUCAGACAAUCUUUAGAGCAUUCAAGCAUUUCUUUGGUUAGUGUGGACGAGUGACGUCAGUAAACAUGAUUUUCGUAAUUCAUCAUCAGAAACACUGGCUCCUCACGGUGAUUCCUAUUUGUUUCCCACUAAAACACAGAACGAGGCAAAGGAUGAAGAAGCUAGUGCAAGACGUGUGGCCUCAACUAGAAAAUUCCACUGCUUGAAGCAAAGGAAAGUGAGGGCAAAGAGAACAAUCAGGGUUCCAGUUUUAAGCAACAGACCAGCAGGAGCUAUUACAAAUGCAAUCGCACAAGGGGAUGCCCUGCUAGAAAGCACACGAAAAGAUCUUUGGAGGAUCCUACCAUGUUGGUUAUGACAUAUGAAGGGAACCAUGACCACCCAUGAAUCACAUUUCAGUACCCAAUGUGAUGAUCAGCAGGAUGAGUUCAAAAGCUGCCCAUGCUGAUAUCCGAGCUGGAUUUGGUUUUUGGUUUGUAAGGCCCUUUUUGAAGCUUAGAAAUUAUUGAACAUGAUUGUGCUGUUGACUAUCUAUUUUUCUGUUCUCAAAACUCCUUAAUUUAUUCUUCUCCCAUUGUGGUCC